UCCUGCAAAGCGGUGAACAGCUUGAGACUGGCUUUCUACAAUAACCUGGAGAAAUCUUAGUCACAGGCCAUAUUUUUUUCUAAUGCAAAUUUCUUGAAGUUUUUUUAUUUUUUUCCCCUUCUGAUUCAAGCAGUUGGGUGUCGUUGUCAGGGGCUUGUAGCCAAAGAGACCCACCAGGUCAACAGUGGAAAGGGCUGGCACAAGUUCCAAAGGGAAAAAAGCCCCUUAACUCUCAGGGUUUGGACUCUGUUGUGCUUUUAACUCCAAAAUUGGGCUGAAUGAAACUCUCCCCUGAAGAAAGCAGUCUGAGUUGGUGAGUUGGGCCAUCAAAUUACCAGGAGGUGAGAAGGUUCGUAGAAGCUGAUCCUUUAUUUUCUUGAUUUUACAUGUCAGGGCAGUUUUAAAGCCAAGUACCCAGAUCCCAGAUCCCUUUGAAAGAUGGGUCGCAAUACCACGAUCUUGGACCAACUUCUUUGGCAGGUCCCGCUGUGUGAACAUUGGAGGCAUGAUAUGGAAAGGGGACUUUAUCACCUUGCUAAUUUCAUCCUACUGCUGGGCUUCAUGGGGGGAAGCGGUGUCUAUGGUUGUUUCUAUCUCUUCAGCUUCCUAGCAACUGGCUUCUUAUGCUAUGCUUUGUGGGGCUGGUUUUUUUCCUGCGGGCUGGACAUCUUUGUCUGGAAUUUCCUUCUGAUCAUGGUCUGCCUGACCCAGCUGGCUCAUUUGGUGUACCAACUGCGGAAGAACGUCUUCCUGGAAGAGUUUGACCACCUCUACAAGACUUUGUACCUGCCCUUGCAGGUGCCCCUGCAGAUGUACAAAGAAAUUGUCCACUGCUGUGAGGAGAGAGUCUUAUCACUGGCCACUGAGCAGACCUAUGCUGUGGAAGGGGAGACACCUAUCAACCGCCUUUCUCUGUUGCUUGAAGGCAGGAUCCGUGUGAGCCAGGAUGGGCAGUUUCUACAUUAUAUCUUCCCCUACCAGUUUAUGGACUCCCCAGAGUGGGAAUCAUUGCAACCGUCUGAGGAAGGGAUAUUUCAGGUCACCCUCACUGCUGAGACAGACUGCACCUACAUUUCCUGGCCGCGCAAGACCUUCUACCACCUUCUGGACAAAGAGCGCUACAUCUCCCGCCUUUUCUCGGCCCUGCUCGGCUACGACAUCUCAGAGAAGCUGUAUGCCCUCAACGACAAGCUCUUUGCCAAGUUUGGCCUGCGUUUUGACAUCCGCCUCCCCAGCCUCUAUCAUGUCCUAGGUCCUGCUUCCUCUUCCUCAGAGCCUGAAGCCGAGAAGGAGGCUGAGGAAAGCAAGGAACCAGCCCUCCCUCCUCACCCUCUGUCUGUGAAAGUUUCCCCACUCCCUUCUCCUCCAGUCCCUGCUGCCCCUGCUGCCCCAGCCCCGGUCAGGGCAUCUCGACUUGGCAGCGAUGGCCUGGGUGAGGACUCUACCAGUCUUGUAUUGGAAGAUUUUGCAGAGUUGCCAGGAUCAUUUAUGGAUUAUGGGAGUGAAGGGGAGUAUAUGAGAUGAGGGAAGUUCUAACACGGGCACAGCCAUCUGGUUUAAGACCCCCCAGCCCCGUUGAUUCAUUCAGAGGCUGAGCUUGGGCCAGCACAGGGUUUUUCUCCAUUACAACGUGAUGUUCUUCAUGUCACUAAAUAUGAUCUGGUGACCUUGGAAUGUCCCUCUCCCCUGGUGGCUGGGAUUCCCGAUCAUCCUGCACCUCUUCUGGAAGUCCUCUUAGGAGUCACCCACACGUUAAAGCCAAAAGCUCAAAAGGACAGGCCCCUUUGGCUCCAACACAUACCCCUGAACUUUAGGGAUCAACUGGUAACUCUUGUUGCAAUGACCAGCCCUGCUCUCCAUACAAGCUAUUAUUCAUGAGAAGGCCACCAAUGAACUUGACCUCCUGGAUUUUCAUGCACUGGGUUCCUCACCUGCACCUGCCUUUGAGACACACAAGACUCUUGCACCUGUGUGACACCACAGUGAUCUUGACGUGUACCUUUUUGUAUUCUCCCCACUCCUUCUCUAGGUCAUUUAAUUAAAAUGCCUAGAAAGUACCAUGUGUCUAAGAAGCCUUGAUUUGUGUUCCUUUUUCAUUCAGUGGCACUAUCCUGGCUUGCUGUCUUACUUUGUACAAAUCAUCUGACCUUUCCAGGCCGACCAAUAAGAUAAGUGGGCUGUAUUGGUUUAUCCCCAAAGCCUUUUAAGUUCUAACCUGUUCUUUGAGUUAGAGAGGGAAGGAAGAAAGAAAAUAAAGAUUUAUGAACAUUUACUAUGUGGAGGCAGCUAGGUGGCUCAAUGGAUAGAGCACUAGGCCUGGAAAACCUGAGUUCAA
Molecule: RNA transcript, 2335 nt
Organism: Dromiciops gliroides (monito del monte)
Lineage: Eukaryota; Metazoa; Chordata; Mammalia; Microbiotheria; Microbiotheriidae
Gene: POPDC2
Gene name: popeye domain containing 2
Exons: 5
Source: RefSeq, a predicted model, not a curated record